UUGGUGUGUUCAGAGCUGUUGUUUCUAAAACCAUGAACAGGAGUUUAUAUCACACCAUAGACAAUGAAGGGGUCUAGAUGAGUGAAGGGAAAGAAAGCUUUGUGCCCUUCAUCAAAUAAAACUCCUAACAGAU
Molecule: small nucleolar RNA, 133 nt
Organism: Labeo rohita (rohu)
Lineage: Eukaryota; Metazoa; Chordata; Actinopteri; Cypriniformes; Cyprinidae
Product: small nucleolar RNA SNORA11
Exons: 1
Source: RefSeq, a predicted model, not a curated record